CGAGGAAGGGCGUAGUAAGCGAUGAAAUGCUUCGGGGAGUUGAAAAUAAGUAUUGAUCCGGAGAUUCCCGAAUAGGUCAACCUUUCAAACUGCUGCUGAAUCCAUGGGCAGGCAAGAG
This 118-nucleotide non-coding RNA is filed under the name Ricinus communis (castor bean). Its description in RNAcentral is "Bacterial large subunit ribosomal RNA". It matches the Rfam family "Bacterial large subunit ribosomal RNA", at positions 47 to 179 of the family's 2925-position model. Lineage: Eukaryota; Viridiplantae; Streptophyta; Magnoliopsida; Malpighiales; Euphorbiaceae. The record is from Rfam by way of RNAcentral.